RNAcentral lists this ribosomal RNA (255 nucleotides) under uncultured bacterium. RNAcentral's name for it is "partial 16S ribosomal RNA". It matches the Rfam family "Bacterial small subunit ribosomal RNA", at positions 524 to 776 of the family's 1533-position model. The record is from RNAcentral.
UACGUAGGGGGGCAAGCGUUUGUCCGGAUUUAUUGGGCGUAAAGAGCGUGUAGGCGGCUUUACAGGUCCGUUGUGAAAACUCGAGGCUCAACCUCGAGACGCCGGUGGAAACCGUAAAGCUAGAGUCCGGAAGAGGAGAGUGGAAUUCCUGGUGUAGCGGUGAAAUGCGCAGAUAUCAGGAGGAACACCAAUGGCGAAGGCAGCUCUCUGGGACGGUACUGACGCUGAGACGCGAAAGCGUGGGGAGCGAACAGG